GGCUUAGAGUUUGAUCCUGGCUCAGGACGAACGCUGGCGGCGUGCCUAAUACAUGCAAGUCGAACGGUCUUUUCUAUGGAAGCUUGCUUCCACUGAGAAGAUAGUGGCGAACGGGUGAGUAACACGUGGGUAACCUGCCCAUAAGAGGGGGAUAACAUCCGGAAAACGGGUGCUAAUACCGCAUAGUUUUCUUKGGUCGCAUGAUCCAGAAAGGAAAAGACGGCCUUUGUGCUGUCGCUUAUGGAUGGACCCGCGGCGUAUUAGUUAGUUGGUGGGGUAAUGGCUCACCAAGACCAAGAAACGUAACCGAACUGAGAGGGGGGUCGGCCACAUUGGGACUGAGACACGGCCCAAACUCCU
RNAcentral lists this ribosomal RNA (360 nucleotides) under uncultured Bacteroides sp. Its description in RNAcentral is "bacterial SSU rRNA". It matches the Rfam family "Bacterial small subunit ribosomal RNA", at positions 1 to 340 of the family's 1533-position model. Lineage: Bacteria; Pseudomonadati; Bacteroidota; Bacteroidia; Bacteroidales; Bacteroidaceae. The record is from RNAcentral.